This 656-nucleotide ribosomal RNA is filed under the name uncultured bacterium. RNAcentral's name for it is "bacterial SSU rRNA". It matches the Rfam family "Bacterial small subunit ribosomal RNA", at positions 135 to 809 of the family's 1533-position model. The record is from RNAcentral.
ACAGGGGGAUAACAGCUGGAAACGGCUGCUAAUACCGCAUAAGCGCACGAGGAGACAUCUCCUAGUGUGAAAAACUCCGGUGGUACAGGAUGGGCCCGCGUCUGAUUAGCUGGUUGGCAGGGUAACGGCCUACCAAGGCAACGAUCAGUAGCCGGUCUGAGAGGAUGAACGGCCACAUUGGAACUGAGACACGGUCCAAACUCCUACGGGAGGCAGCAGUGGGGAAUAUUGCACAAUGGGGGAAACCCUGAUGCAGCAACGCCGCGUGAGUGAAGAAGUAUUUCGGUAUGUAAAGCUCUAUCAGCAGGGAAGAUAAUGACGGUACCUGACUAAGAAGCUCCGGCUAAAUACGUGCCAGCAGCCGCGGUAAUACGUAUGGAGCAAGCGUUAUCCGGAUUUACUGGGUGUAAAGGGUGCGUAGGUGGCAGUGCAAGUCAGAUGUGAAAGGCCGGGGCUCAACCCCGGAGCUGCAUUUGAAACUGCUCGGCUAGAGUACAGGAGAGGCAGGCGGAAUUCCUAGUGUAGCGGUGAAAUGCGUAGAUAUUAGGAGGAACACCAGUGGCGAAGGCGGCCUGCUGGACUGUUACUGACACUGAGGCACGAAAGCGUGGGGAGCAAACAGGAUUAGAUACCCUGGUAGUCCACGCCGUAAACGA